This is a long non-coding RNA of Rhagoletis zephyria (snowberry fruit fly), 269 nucleotides long. RefSeq lists it as uncharacterized. NCBI's taxonomy places the organism in Eukaryota, Metazoa, Arthropoda, Insecta, Diptera, Tephritidae. The record is from RefSeq and is a predicted model, not a curated record.
ACAGGGAUUGAUCCGGCCCAAUAAAUAUGCAGGGAAAACUUUUGCUUUUUGUCGCAGGCGAAUCGAGAAAAUCUACUUUCCUCAAAGAGAUGCGUAUAAUACGCGGCAUUAUUUAUGAACUCGAACUUAUUCCAAAAUACAAAUAAGUGAUAUAUCAAAAUGUAUUACGAGGAAAGCACGUAUUGAUUGAUGCUCGUCAAAAACUGGGAAUCCCAUAGGGAAACACCGAACAAGAAACAAUGCGAAAUAGGCGAAAUUAAUUGAAUGUA